GGUAACCGGGCGGUGUCCUCCACUGUGCGACUGGCUGCCAGAGCAAUAAUCAGUUCAGCGUGUACAGAAGGGGGUGCCUGCUGCCCGCCAAUAGCCACACCACUGCUGCCCGAGACAGGAGGAGAAGGUGUUUGCCGUGUGUUACUACAGGGGUAGCGCCGUGCUGACUGUAAAAAGGCAUACAUUAGUCAUAGUACGUCACUGCCGCAGCUGUACUAUGUUACAUGUAUGAGUGGUUGCAGCACAGAAUCUAGGAAGAUAGAAAGAGGUUGAAGUAAUGAGCCACGGGCGGAGAUUAUUGGACGACCCGGUGGAGGGAUACCCUCUUUAUGCACCUUAGGUUGCCGACCUUACUCUUAAGUAAGCAGACAGAGAGUCAACUGCAAGGAAAGAUUAUAUCUGAAGCAGGCACCCAGUGCCAGUGACCCAUCAAGCUGUUGUGAGUGAUACCUCCCAACUGUCCCGAUAAUCGGACACUGUCCCACGAGGGAAGCCUUUGAUCACCCGCUGCUUUGCUCUGCGCAAUGGUCCAUAUUUCACACAUCACCAAGUU
Molecule: long non-coding RNA, 553 nt
Organism: Pseudophryne corroboree (corroboree frog)
Lineage: Eukaryota; Metazoa; Chordata; Amphibia; Anura; Myobatrachidae
Exons: 4
Source: RefSeq, a predicted model, not a curated record